This 72-nucleotide transfer RNA is filed under the name Candidatus Woesebacteria bacterium. RNAcentral's name for it is "tRNA-Thr". It matches the Rfam family "tRNA". Rfam says of the family: Transfer RNA (tRNA) molecules are approximately 80 nucleotides in length. Their secondary structure includes four short double-helical elements and three loops (D, anti-codon, and T loops). The record is from RNAcentral. Lineage: Bacteria; Candidatus Woeseibacteriota.
GCCGACUUAGCUCAGUGGUAGAGCAUUCGCUUUGUAAGCGACAGGUCCGGGGUUCAAAUCCCCGAGUCGGCU